GAUAGGUCAGACAAGAGAAACAUUUUUUUGGUUUUGAGAGAGAGAAAGAGAAGCUACAAAGAAGAGAAAAAGCAUAAACGUGAUUUACUUUUUUUAAAUGAUUUUUCUCUUUUAUUAGAUAGCUUUUGUUUGUAUUUUUAUAAGGGUAGUUUGGUUAGGAAAAAAAAUGAAAAGUAGUGAAAACAAUGAAAAACAGUCUAUGUAGCAUAAAAGGUGUUAUAAUGAAAGGAGACAUACAUAAACGGUGUCAAUAUGCAACUCUUCCCAAAAAAACGAAGGUAACCAAUCACGGGCUGCCACGUGUCAGUGGAACCCGCGAUUAGUGAAGGAAGAAGGCGCAGGACCGUCCCGUUUUAGCUAACGUCCCUCAGUUUUAUUUUAUUUUUAUUUUAUUUUGGGGGAAAAAGUAUGUGGGACUUCGGCUAUGUACGCUGAUGUACUUGCCCUUAUGGUUUUAAAUUUCCAUUCAGUUCUCAACCCAGCUUCAGAUAGCUCAUUAACCUUUCGUUUCAGAGCAACACAUUCCUCAGAGGUCCUUCCAAUGAGUAAAC
RNAcentral lists this long non-coding RNA (551 nucleotides) under Capsella rubella. RNAcentral describes it as "long non-coding RNA (CRUB_LNC000706)". Lineage: Eukaryota; Viridiplantae; Streptophyta; Magnoliopsida; Brassicales; Brassicaceae. The record is from RNAcentral.